This 472-nucleotide ribosomal RNA is filed under the name Amphora copulata. RNAcentral describes it as "eukaryotic LSU rRNA". It matches the Rfam family "Eukaryotic large subunit ribosomal RNA", at positions 50 to 549 of the family's 3401-position model. The record is from RNAcentral. Lineage: Eukaryota; Bacillariophyta; Bacillariophyceae; Surirellales; Surirellaceae.
GCGGAGGAAAAGAAACUAACAAGGAUUCCCCCAGUAACGGCGAGUGAAGCGGGAAGAGCUCAUGUUGUGAAUCUGCGGUGGAAUUGUGGUCUAUAGAUACUUGCACUAUGAAACCGAACCAAGUCCCUUGGAACAGGGCAGCUGAGAGGGUGAGACUCCCGUACGUUUGGUUUUUGGAGCACGUGUCAACGAGUCGAGUUGUUUGGGAUUGCAGCUCAAAGCAGGUGGUAAAUUCCAUCGAAAGCUAAAUAAGGGUGGCAGACCGAUAGCGUACAAGUACCGUGAGGGAAAGAUGCAAAGCCGCGCGAAAGCGCUGUUAAAGAGUACCUGAAAUUGCUGAAAAGGAAGCGAAGGAAACCAGUGUCAGCAUGGUCAUACUUCCCUAUUUGCUUGCAGAUGGGGCGCUGUGUCCAGCCUUGUCAUUGUUUACUGUACUGUCAGGAAAUGCACUAAAAGAGUUGAUUUUGGUUGC